This 250-nucleotide unclassified non-coding RNA is filed under the name Hevea brasiliensis (rubber tree). Lineage: Eukaryota; Viridiplantae; Streptophyta; Magnoliopsida; Malpighiales; Euphorbiaceae. The record is from RNAcentral.
GCUCGAUGAAAUGGCAAAGAUGCUUCAGGUAAAGGUUUGCCCUCACGCUGCAGUGUCCAGAUUCCCUUGGGGCCUCGAAAAUCAGGUAUGCCACACGAAGUUGAUAUUCCUGCACCUGUAAACACCACUAGAUGCUUACUCUUUUGGAUCAUCUUCACAAGGCGUUCAAUUUUCUCCUGCAAAACAUGGGAUGAGUCGAAGAAUUCAGUCAUUCCAACUUUACCCACAUCUUCUAUGAAGGAGAGCUUCU